AAAUAAAUAAAUAAAUAAAUAAAAUGAAAUUCUCAAGAAUACAUAUCAAACUAAAAAAUUUAAUUGUCUUCUUUAAUAAAAUAAUAAAAAAUGAACAUUAUUUUUCCCCAUUAAAUUUAUUCUUCUAAAUCCCUGAAAAUGUUAUUUUCCAGUUAACUCUGGUACCUGUUUAUAAAAUUAAAAAACAUUUCACAUGAACUAUAUAUUUUAGCUGCUUUUAAAAAUUUCACAUGACUAUACCAAAAUUUCCCUAAUCUCAGUUCCUUUGCAACCAAAACAUUUUUCCAUUCCUAUGGUUUGUUUAUUAACUGAACUAGCCAGUAUCUUACUGGUAGAUAAUUUGAUUUGGUAUAAUUUACUCAAAAAUCAAGUUGAAAAAAAAAAGCAGAACAUAUAUCCUCUCUUAUAAAAUGCUUACCGUGAGGAAAAUGAUAAAAUUACAGUCACGCAAAGAAGGCAAUACCAAAUAUGGAUUUUCUUUCUUUUCUUGCAUGUUCCCAAACAACUAAAGUGAUCUCUAGCCAUAUUUUCUCAGCCACCAAAAAAUUAGAAAAUAUAAUUACAGAAUUCUUAAUAUGCAAUUCGCAAAGUAAAACAAAUUAAAGAAGAGCUAAAAAAUGAAAAAGAAGGAUUGCUCACAUAGAUGUUGACAGUGAACUAAGUCGCUGCAGGACUGCACCUGCCAACAUAUUGAAUGGUGGUCAAAGACCGCUUUUGCUUCCUCCCAUUUUGAUUACUGCACAAAAAAUACCGGCAUAAAGGCUGUCAAGUAAAAGAGAUUCUCUAGAUUUCUGUCUCAGAUUCUAUAUCAAACAUGAAAAUAGAAAUUUGAGGCAAACGACAAUCAAUUUAUCUAAGAAAAGAUGAGUAAACAAAAAGUUAAAGUGAAAUGUGUCCAAUAAUGAACCUGAAUUCACAAAAUCAAAAAUAAUUGUUGCCUUCUUCCCUUCUAACUCUUCAAAAUUUCAGCUCUUUCAUUCAAAAUCUUCCCAAUCUCUUGCUAAUUCUGGAUAUUCAUGGAGUCUGGAAUCAAACGGUUAACAGAGAGGGUAGUUUCAUUUUUAUUUCAUCAAAAUUUGAUGAAAUGGAACAAAACUUGGGAUUUGGUUUGGGAAAUCACAAGGAAGUGUUGAAUUGAGAAGAAAAUAUUUAGAACUUUGAGAAGAGGACUUGGGUUGGUUUUUUGCUUAGUGACAUAAACAGGUUAGGAGGAAUGUGGCCUUUUUUUCACUCUUUUUUUGAAUGAAUUUCAAUGUUUAAGAGUAAAAGGUCAUAAAAAAAUUUAAUAAUAGUUGGACUUGUGCGGAGCUCGCCCGCAUGCAAGGUCCAACUUUAAAUAAAUAAUUAGUCAUUUAUCAGCAUAUUGUGGAUGGCAACGGGUCAGGUACACAAAAAGUGUCGUAUCCCAAUCCAAACUCACUUAAAUAUAAGGUACCUGAAUCCAUUUAAAAAAUUACCCCUGCAUUACCCAUAUUCGUCCCAAAUUGAAUUAGCAUUACCCAUUUGCAAUCCGGAUUCAUAGAAACAACCGUUUAACACAAAAUGAACAAAAUGCAUACAACACACAAUACACUAAACUGUAUAAACACUUGAUUAUUAUCGAACCCUUAUAAAAUAAAGAAAAUAGCAUGCUGUUAUUUUUACCACUCCAAUUGUCAGAAAUUGUAUGUAAUUACAUAGUUUUUACAAUUCAAAGAAACUUCAAGAAUCUACUAACUUAAUUAUAUAAUGGAGAGCAAGAAUGAAUACAUUUAAACUCCAGGUCUACGAAUAUGUGGCCUGUAAGUAUUUGGUCAAUAUAGUUUCUUGAAUCCCUGGACAAAAGAGACAGCUUAUUUGAUGAAAGUAAAAAUUAUUUAACUGCUGAAAAAGAAGAAUGCAUAAUGCAAUAAUGCAAUGUAUAGAGAAUGUAUAAUACAGUGUUGAUAUAUGGUUGUUAUUAGUUGUGUUUUCCAAUGCUUAUUUGUAGCAGUUCAUAUUAGUGAAGGUCUCACUGAUUACCUAAAUAAACCAAAUGAAAUAUAGGCAAUUUGAAUUAAUUAGUAAUCUUUAUUUCCUUGUGUAUGAGCUAAUGGAAAAUUUCUACAAAGGAGAGAGGGAGAAUAUGAAGAAUCAAUGUUAGAUUGUUGUUCCAGGAUUAGAUUUCAUUCCCAUCUGAACUUUGGCAGUCUUACAAAUCAGUUUCUAAUUUUGUGAAACUUAUGAAAAUUGUUCUGCAUGCCUACUGUAUAAAGUUUAUGCAUCUUUUGUCAGUUCAACUAAAGAAAAUAACACAUGCUGAUUUUACUUUAAAUAUUAAAUAGUAGCAUUUUUACGGAAAAGCCUUACCCUACAACCUACUGAGGAUGAUUUUGAUCAGAAGAUACAUAUUUAUUGAUCAAUCGUUUAGGUUUUUCAAUGAAAUUUUUGAAAUGCAUUUAGAAUUAAAUGCUUAACAGAAUCAUUUAGAUCUUUAGAAGUUAAGGAUUUUAAUCAACUUGCUUCAAUUUCACUCAUUUAUGUAUAAUUUUCUUGGUGUCUUUGCAAUUACAGAUACCAUCCAACACUUAAGUACAAAGAAUUCUGUACACUGGGAUGAUUCUAUUGUCAUUAAACUUGUUUUGACCGGCAUUUUAAGGAACUGAUUUUUCUAAACAAGAUUUACAAUCAGCAACAAAGAUAAAAAGAAACAAAAGAAAAGAAAUAAAAACUGCAGAAACAGGACAAGACAAAACCAGCAAAAAGAACAAAAGGAAACCAAAAACCAAAAAGAACUAAAGCGGCAAAACCAAACCAAAGAAUAAAAUAAGGCCCAAAGCAGCAGUAACAGUUUAAAAAAAAAAAAAAAAAAAAAAGAAAAAAGAAAAAAAGAGCAUAAGAAACCAAUUAACUUAGUCUAUCAUAUCAACGGCUAUUUACAUUCACAAAAUCAAACCACAUACUCAAUUUACAGUAAAGUGAAGAAAACAAAAAACGAAAUUAUUGACAGAGCUUUAACUUUAACAGUAACAAAAAUACCUUGCGAUUUGCGAGCCACAGAGCUAGUCUUGAACGAGACACAGAGCUUGUCGGCGGAGAUCGCCGCUCUUGAGGCGCGCUCGUCACUCGUCGGAUAAAAGGCAACAGGCAAAUCGAAGAUGAGAGACUAAGGCAACAAGAGAAAAAAUCAGAUCGAGGCAAAACUACUGCCUCGCGAAGAACGAAUUGAACUUUGAUUUAAAAAGUUAAUUCAAAACGACGUGGUUUGGUUAAGGCAUUUUCUGUGUCAAAACUUCGUCGUUCUGGUAGUGAAGUGUUAGUUAUUUUCUUCCUUUCUUUUUCUGGCCUAAUACAGAGAGAUAAUUAAAAUUUUAUGUAAUUCAGUUAUAAAUUUAAUUUUUAUAUCUGAUAUGCAAAAACUAAAAAUUUAAAUUUUGUGAAUUUAAUUCUAUAAUAUAAUUAAAUUAAAUUUCAUAAAAAAGUGAAAUUUUAGAAUGAAUUUCAUAAAUUUAAACAAUAUAUUUUCGCAGAUAAUAGUAGAUAAGUUCUUGAUGGGCUUAAAUCUAUGUUUCUGUAUUUUACACAACCAGCAAUUGAACAGAAAAAAAAAACAUUCGACCAUAAAAUGACAAGCAUCUAUUCCAAUCAAAAUUAUUAGUGAUCCAAGUUAUCAAAUGGGCCUCAAAUAUACACAAAGCCCAAACACAACAGAUACACACUCAUCAUCCUUAUAUUUAUUCAUCAAGUGGGCCCAAGCCAGCAGGAGGCGGUUACCAAAUGUACAAAGUUAAAUAUAUAGAGUAGAUACAACAGCUGCUAGCAUCUGCUUCUUGAAUGUUUUCACUGUAUUGAACUAUUCUACAAUACAAUUUUUGUCUCCAUUAAUACACUGUUUCAGUUUUCUCUUUCUCUGGUGAAGAAUGCUUUGAUAAUCUCAUCAGUUAGCAAACCUCAAUAAUCUUUUUUGUUGUUAAAAUUUUGAUUAACAGCCUAGCCUGAUAUGGUGGUGACAAUUCUAAAUGAAAACAUAACCAAUAAUUAAAAAAAAAAAAAAAAGAAAUAAAAAUACCUAUGCUUUUAUUGUGUUUCAGCCAUUCAUUUUGUUAAGAUUUGAUGGGAGGUUUAAAUUGAUAUAAUCUUAAAUUCAUAUAUUGAAUUGAAAAAAUUACGAAAUCAAAUCGAAGAAAAAGUAAACUUUCUUUUUAUUUGAUGCAAAUUGAAUUGCUUAGCGUGACUAAUAAACUACAGGCCCAUUUUGGCCCAUUCUCCAAAUUUUGGGCCCUCAUACUGGGCCUAAACGCACUCGUACUUUUACCCAAUUCCUCUUUGGCAAAAACCCAUAACUAUAAAUUUCCAUCUAUCUCUGGUAGGAAAAAGAUAAAAUUCCAACUAGUCCAUGAGGUUCAGCCAACUGUACAGUUUCAUCCCAAUAUUUAAAAAUAAAAGGAAUUAAGGAGUCCCAAAAUUUAAUUCCAUUAAUGAAAUAAUAUUUUUAUUUCCAUAGACCUGGUUUAGGUAGGUCUAAACCUUAUUAUAAUUAAUAUUAAUUAACCAAUAGUCAAUAAAUAUUUUUUUGAAAAAUAUAAUUCAUUAACUAUAAUAUCAAACAUUACGAAUAAUCAUAUAGAUCAGACAAUGAAUUUUACUAUCAUAAGCUAAUAGAGUUCGUUGAUCUUUUAACAAGCUAAAAUAAUUAUAUAUAUUCUUUUGAAUGAUAAUACUAAAUAUAAGAAAAUAUAAUAUUAUAUCUUUCCACUUGAAGAUGAUCUUGAUAAAAGAUAUAAAUAUUCUUAUUACCAACUAGUUUUUUAAUUGAUUUGGAUAGUAAAAUAAUAAUUACUUUGGAUCUUUUAUAUCUGAAUUGUUUUUAGCUAAAUUGUUUUUUCAAGGACUUGUAAUAUAUAACAUACACAUAUGAAUUCUCGCCAACAUACAUCAAUAGUAUCAAUAGAGGAACAAGUCGCACUAUUAGACUUCGUUGAUCAAAGAUUCACAUUUACAAAUCAAUAUCAAAAGUUUCCAACCAAAUAAAAUCAAAUAUUAUACUUUUAUUUAUAAUAAACUCUCAUACAGAAGGAACAAAAAGCUCUAAAUACGGAAACAAAAUAACAAUAAUAAAAAUCAAAACAAAUAUAUUAUAUGAUAAAUAGAUAUGAAUUUAUUAAAAUGGCUAAGAGAAUUUAAAAGAGAAAAAGAGAAGAAGUUGAAUCAAAGGAAAAAAAUAGAAUGUAGGAGAUUAUCACUAAUCAACAUCAAGCGGCCACAAACUAAAUUUUUAAACAUUUUAUAAAUUUCAAUCAAUGACUUCGUUAUUUUAGGUGUCUCGUCAUGCCGAAGAGAUAAUAAAAAAUCAAAAUUCGAAAGACUCAAGAAAGAUCAUCUUUUCACCAUUCAUAUUUAAAUAUAAUAUAUAUAACGGCAGAGCUUCUUAUGGUCGAAAGGUCGCUGGGCAAUUCUAAGAAAUUUUUUUUAAAAGAAAAAUUCUUAUGAAAUAUUAUAUUUUGGUCUUUAAAAAUAUAAAAAAAUUAUAUUUUGAUACCCUAAAAGUUUUUAAAACUUCAUUUAGCUUGUUUAAAGUAAUUGUCUUAGUUCUGUGCUGAAUAUAUAUAUAUAUAUAUAUAUAUAUAUAUAUAUAUUAAAUAUUCUAUGUAUUAUCCCUAUCACAUUUGCAUUGAUAACCAGGACAAGAAGCUUGUAGCCAAAUGUUAGAGUACUGACAACUAAUUCCCACUGUGAAAUGUUUUAUUAGCCUCUGAUCAUCAAUGAUUAAGUGGCCCACUUGUUUUAAUUUGUCCAGAACUUAUGGAAUAAUUAAUCAAGUAUUAAUAAUUAUUUUUGGAAGCGAACAUUCUAGAUAUACCUUUUUUCUCUUGUUCAGCUACUGCAACAUUUUUGUUGGAGAAUCAAGAACUUAUGGCUUAAAAUAUUCGCAUAUACUAUAUUAAGUACUCCCAUCUUCAAAAUAGUUCAUUUUCUAUUUUUACACAGAUUAAAAAAAUAAUAAUUAUUAUGAGUUUUGACAAUUCUAUUCCUAUAACUUUUCUAUCAUACCAUUUUAAAUAACAUAUGAGCAAUUAUUAUAUUUAAAUAAUAAGUAAAAAUUAAUGAGGGUUAUUGAAAAUAAGAAAAAAUUUAAUAAGGGUAUAAUAGACAAUUUCAUGAUUAACUAUAAUACAAAAAAGAAAAAUAAACCAUAUUUUAGGACAAAUUAAAAAGAAAAGAUGAAAUAUUUUUUUGAGGCAGAUCUAUUAUUCUUCUCACAAUAAUGAUUUUAUAAGUACAGUUUUUUUUUUUCUUUAUACUCAAAUGAUAUGAGAAGCUAAUUUUAUAAAAAACGAAGAUUAAUUUGUCUUUGAAUUUGUUUAAUAGGAUAAAAAAUGUCAAGAUUUGAUCUUUUUAGAUCAAUUUAACAUCUAAACUUAUUUAAAAUAAUUAAAAAGAUCAGAUUUAAUAUUUUGGAUUAAUUUAGUCCCUGACUAUUCGCUGUAUUUAUAACGUGAGAAUUCUUAUAUAGACAUUUAUUAAAAUUAUAGUUGGAAUCACGUGGUAUAAUUUAUUGAAAAAUUUAAUUAAAUAUCAAAUUGAGGAAAUAAUAUAUGAAAUAUAUUAUAUCCCUCUUUAUCUUGAUCUAUCAUUUUAAAUUCAUAAAUAUGUACUAAUUUAAAUAUUUUAAAAUUGAACUUUACUACUAGAUUAUUGCAUAUGCAGUUCAUGCAUUUCUCAUGUUAAACGAAUUCAAAGUUACACUACAUAUUUUAUAAAUUUACUGUGUUAAAGAAAUAAUAUUUUCGUGAUUUUAAAAUUCUAUUCAGAAGUAUUGGAAAAGUUUGAUCUAGAUAUUCCUAUUAAAUUGAAUCAAUUUAUUAUUUUGUAAAAAUCAAAAUAAAUUUAGUGGCUGAAUUGAUUUAAAAAAAAUCAAAUCUGACUUUUAAAUCCCAUAAAUAAGUUCGUGAGCUAAAUUAGUCUUUAUUCCAUUUUAUAACCACAAAGUCGUGUUUAAAAUUUUAAACAAUAUGGUUCUUAUGUUGCCUGUAACGGUUUCGUAUGCUCUAGUAGCUUUCUCUCUUUUGUCCAAGGUUUCUUGUCCUGCCAACAUGGAGAGGGACUUUAAUCAUUUGUCAAUCGCUGAUGAUGAGGAAGAAGGCUUGCCUGUUAACGCAUCUUCAGAUGCCACCAAGUCUACCUACGAAUUUUGUCUUGUCGACAUGUUCUUGACUUGCGGGACUGUGAAUUUUUAGUCCAUGCGAAACACUUUCGCAGAUUUGUGGCAUUCGCUCGGAGGGAUUAUAAUUACUGAUUUGGGAGCCAAACGUUUUCUGUUUCGGUUCUACAACAAAGUGGAUUUGGAUAGGGUUUUGAAUGGUGCCCCAUGGACUUUUAAUCGACACUUGCUGGUAUGGGGUCUGAUAAAAAAUGAUGAGGACCCGCUGCUGAUUCCUUUGCUAUACUCGGAUUUCUGGGUUCAGGUACAUAACUUGCCGGUCGGGUUAAUGUCUGCGGCAGUGGCCAAAUCAAUAGGGAAUUUCAUUGGUACUUUCAUUGAAUAUGACAUUAAGACUGUUCAUUUUGAUCCCAAUCAAUUUAUGAGACUGCAGGUUAAGUUGGAUAUUCGUACCUUUACGUAGAGGAAAGAAGUUGAUUGAUUCUAAUGGUAAUGUUCAUUAUGUCCAAUUCCAGAAUGAAAAACUUCUUGUGUUUUGCUAUACUUGCGGUCGCUUGGGACACACCGAUUCGUUCUGUAAAUUACAAUUGCACAAGUCUAAAAAAGAACUCAAGCCAGCUUGGGAUGAUCGAAUAAGGGUGCCGAUUCGCCGGAAAAUUCAGCAAACAACCAUGGCUGCAUGAUGAUAGAAAGUUUGAUGAUACUCCAAUCCAGGCAGAUAUUUCGGGAUGUGUGGGCGGGAAAUAUGGAGUUUUGAAAUCCCAACAAUUUUGAGCUUCCUUUUAUGGCACGAUAGUUAAUUUUAAUGUUAGUACUAAUCCCAUAGGCUUUAUGGAGACUGAUACAAAUUCUUUGAAUGGGUCCAAUACUGAUGGGCUUGACGAGGAUGUGGUCUUAGAAGAUGUGGGUGAAAUGAAGAAGAGGCCCCGAUGAUCCUUUUUGGUGAGGGUAUUAAAGUGGCUAGUGAUCCUUGAGGAGGAUCCUUUUUGCUGUAGAAUCAACGUGGUAGCUCUACUGUGGAUAUUGCCGUGAAGUACCUAUCGAAUUGGAGAGAAGUGUGUCUGCCACAUGAAGCUGCUGUGACGUCCAUUUCAGUGCUUCAUUGACAUGCACAUAAAGCACCAUCCAUUCACGCUCACAAUUUUGUUUGGAUUUGCUUCAUUGAUGGAUCAGUGUUCACAACCAUGGAUUUCAUUGGCUAUGCUUAUGUUAUUGAGGACAGUGAGGGACGGUUUCAACGUGCAGUGUCAGGGUUUCAGGAAGGCAAUGGCUCGGCGGUGGUGAUGGAGGCUAUAGCUCUUCGUUCCUGCCUUUCAUAUGCUCGUGAUUUUCUAUCUUUAAAUGGGUGUAUUUUUUCAAAUUGCCAAAAUCUUAUGAAUGCUCUCAAAUCCCAUUGUUUUAGAUAAUUUUGAAUUUGGUUUGAUUGUUCUUGAUUGUAAGCGAAUUUUAGAGUCUAGACAUGAUAUUACUGUCAGGUGGAUUCAGAGACAAGCUAAUAUGGAUGCUCACACUCUUGCUAGAGCAUCUAUACAUCAUGCUCGUUUCCAAAUUUGGGAUGAUGUUCGUCUUGUUAGUUAGAUUUUUUCCAUUGAGAUAAUGCAAUAUUAUUUCAUUUAAAACAAAUUUAAAACAAUAUAUAAAUUUUAUCAAACAAAUUUAAAUUAAUAACUCUAAAAAAUUUUAAUUUUUAGAUAUUAAAUGGUGUUAUUAGAUGUAAACUAAAUUUAUAUUGUUAUUUCAAUUUAAAUGUCUAAACAAAAUUCUCAAAUUCUUUUUUUGUUAAUAUUUUUUUGGAGAAAUAUAAUUCAUUAAUAAUAAAAGUAUUACAAAUACUCAAUUAGAUCAAAUAUAAAACUUAUUAUCAUAAUUAAUAAAAAGUUCGAUGAUCCUUCAACAAUAAAAGAAUUAUCUAUAUUUUUUUGAAUAGUAAAACUAAAAUUAAAAGAAACAGUUGGAGUUUUCCGCUUGAAAAAAACUUUGAUCGAUAUAAAUCUUCAUAGUAACAACUGAUCCUUUAAUUGAUUUGGACGAUAAAAUAACUUUUUCGAACUUUAUAUGCUUGGAUUGCUUUUUCAAAAAUUUGUUGCAUAUAACAUAUGCGGAUGAGUUUAAACCACUAUGGGUUAAUAGCAUGAAUGAAGGAACAGACUGUACUAUCAGGUUCCAUUGGUUGAAGAUACACAUCAGUAAAACAAGAUCGAAAUUCUCCAAUCAAAUAAAAUCAAAUGUCAUACCUUUUAAUAAUAAAUCUUCACAAGGAACUAAACCCUCUCAAAAGAAUGGGCAAAAAAACUCCAAAUAUGGAGACAAAACAAAUCAAUAACAAAAACAACAAUAACAAAAAUAUAUCUAUUAGAAGAAAAUGGAUUUGAGUUUAUUAAAAACAAAUAAAAGAUUAGGAGCCAGAAGAAAAAAAAAAAAAGUAUGGGGCUACUACUGAUUAACAAUGGCAACCUCAAACAAAAACUAUGAUUAAAUAAAUCAGAGAGAAAAGAGGAGGAGAGAAACCCUAAAACUAUCGAUUUUUUUUUUGUUAAUAUUUAAAAUGACGGUUUUUUUUUUUUUUUUUUUUUUUUUUGCGAAUGUUAAACAAAUCCCUAAAUAGUAUAGGUAAUAAAAUAAAAAAAAAUAUGUAUCACUUUAAUAAUAAUUUCAUGUUAAAAAAUGUUGGAAAAAUAGAGCUCUUGAAUAGGAAAAUCCGGUAUCGAAUUUUUGCUCUGCUAGGGUUUAUCACUUUAACAUUUAAAAAAAAAAAAAAACUAUUUUCAAGACAGUUCAUUUUCUAUUAUUUCUUUUUAAUAUUGAAUAUUAAUUAAAUAACUUACUUUUAAAAAUAUUUUUCCUUGACUUUUUUAAACACUUUAAAUAUAGAAAAAAUUCAAAAAUAUUUUUUAAAUAAAUUAUUUUCAAGAAAAAAUCUUGGAUAAUGGAAAUUUGGAAAAUUAGAUAAAUAAUAAUAAAACCUUAUGCACAGCAAACAUUUGUUAUAUGGUGUCCCAAGAAUAGUAAAACUUGUGGCUGAAUUUUGUAUUUCUUUUUUAGAUCACUCUCUAUCACGCUCUUAACAAUUCCCAUUUGCUGAAGUGGUCCCCAUAAAAGUAUUCUUGAUUGAGAUUUGAAUACGAAUUUCAAUUAAGUAAGCUUCAAGUUACAAACAUCAUCUUCACAAAAUUUCCUUCAUUGGUGAAGCAUUUAUCAUUUGGUAAGUUUUCUCAGAUUUAACACUAUGUUUGGAAUUGGGAGAUUUUAUGAUAGGAAGAAAAUUUUGAAUGGAAAAUAAGAAAAGAAAGCUAUUUUCCUCCUGCUUAAAUGUAAAUAAAAUUUGAAAGGAAAGAAAAUAUUACCAAAAUCCUUUCUGUCCCAUAUUUUAUUAAUCUCUCCAAAUUGGCGAGAAAAUAGGAGAUAAAUGUAUAAAAGGAUAGAAGUGUAAAUUUACAACAAUACAAUUUUCUUUCCUCCAUAUUUUAGACUUUUCUAAAUAAUAUAUAUAUAUAUAUAUUUUUUAUUUUUUUUUUUCCUUUCAAUCUAAACAUAAAAUGGAAAAUAAAGAAAAAAAGAGCUCUUGUUUUACUCGGCACAUGUACAAAAUAUAAGACAUCAAUGUGUUGAACAUGCAAAUCCCAUGCAUGUAUCUGCCAUGCAGGGAUUCAUAAUUAGCUCAACUGAAAAAUUGUUAAGAUCUUUCUUCAUUGUCUUUUUGUCAUAUAAAAAAACACGAGAAAAAUAAAAUAAAACAAGAAAAGGAAGCGCAUGCACAUGCCUGUAAAUGUAUAAUAUACAUCCAUCCAAAUGGGCAAAGAUUAGAUGCCUUCUCACCAUUUUUCCGCGCAUCCAAAACCGUAAGGGGCCACUCACACUUGAUGUGCAGGAUACUUAAAUCAGUUACGCAGCCAGAAAAUUAAAAUUAGAGAUAAAAAAAUUUUCAAGAGUUAACAAGAGUGAGAUUAAAAAUUUUAUUAUUUUAAAAGGAAAAAUAAAAAAUUUUAUUAUUUUUUAUUAUUAGACUAAUUUUAAAAGGUAAAAUAAUAUAUUUUCAUAUAUUAUUAGACUAAUUUUAUUUUAAAAUUUAAUAUUAUUUCUUCUAAGUAUUUUUUUAUGAAUAGAAAUUUUAAUAGAGAAUUAGAGAUCAUCCACUGGAUUUAAAAGUUAAAAUAUAUUUAUAAAUUAUUUCAUCUAUUACACUUAAAUUAUCAACUUGUAGCUUCUUCAUACAAAAUAAGGAGAUAAUUAAUUUAUCUUAAAUCUAUAAAAUUUUCAUUUGAAAUUAUUUUAAUAUUUAUUUUAUAAAAUAUUAUUAAGAGCGAAUGAAUAGUGAGAUCCAAUAAAGAAGAGUAAAAAAUUAAAAAUGUAAUAUACUCUUUUCUAAAUUAUAUAAAAAAAUGACACUUAAAAUAGAACAAAAAAAAAUCUUAAAAGUUAAACAGAAUAUCGGAAGUAUAAAUAAUAGAUUUUAUUUUUUAUUUUUUAAAAAUCGAAUUAAUCAGAGCAAUACUAACAAAAUAAUAUUGUAAAGUUACUUAGGACAUCCCUUCCUCUUAUCUCUCCGUGUGGUCGCUUUCAUUGGCUUCAUAAUCAUACACAUAUUCAUGGCCCACUUACGAAGCCAUCUCACAACCACAAAAUAUAAUUUUCAAAAGAAAAAUGACCGUUCGGACAGCUUGUUAAGUUUUUCCACACUUCUUCCUCACUUUCCCACUCUCUAUAACGGCUACAAUAGAAGGCUCUGGAACAAUCUACCUGUUUUAAGACGGCGGGACACGUGUAACCAAUCACAUGGGCUGCUUUUGCUCGAAAAUGGAGAAGAAUAAGCUGUAGUGUUACUCUUAGAUGUGAAUUAUUUGCUUCAAAUGAUGCUUUAGUUGUUUCUAGUGAAAAUAGAGCAAUAGUAAUUUUUUUUUUUUACCAUUUAAUAUGAUGUACAAUGAAUUUUUUACACUAUGUACUAUUAUGCAGCAGUUACAACAUUUUAAAGUCCAUCAAAUAGUAUAAUCCAUUAGAAAAUCCAAUAAAUUUCUCAUUGCUCUUUUGAAUAAUAUUUACUAUAUUUGUGCAUAUUAAUUAUUAAAAAAAAUUUAUUUACACCCGGUGUUUGGAUCUAUUUAUACAUCAAAUCAAUCACAAAUAAUAUUUUGAUUUAAUCAAAUGUAUUUCUAAUCAUAUAUUAAAAAAAGAUAAAAUAAUAAUUUUUUUGAUUGGUUUACUGAAUGAGACUACCCAUAUACUAAGUGUUGAUAAAAAUUUCCUUAAUUAUUAUAGAAAAGUUAGAAAUAAUUCAAUCGCUUUUCCUUAACUUACUUUUUUGCACUUAAUGUAAUAAAAAAAACUUCAAAACUUUAAUAAUGUAAAAUGAUUCUUACUAAAUUGUAUAGUUAAGUCUAAUAGGAUUGUUGAGACUUUGGUUCUUAAUUUAUGAAAUUUCAAUUUUUAUCCUAAAAAAAAAAAAACAAAGUAACAGGAAAGCUCAUAUAAAUGAACAUGCAAGAGAAAAAAAAAUCAUUUUUUAACUAAAGUAAAUUAUUGCAUACUUCCCUCCUAGAUUACUCUGAAAAAUAAAAAAUAAAAUACACAAAAUUAAAAAUAUACGAGCUUUGUUAACAGAUACAUAUUACGUACAUUUACGAUUACAUUCUUAGCAUAAUAUCAAAAUUUUCAAAAACAUUACAGUUCUUUUAUUCUAUUUACAUUGUAAGUAUCUCUCUACACAGAUUAUGCCAAAAAUACUUUUUGAAUAUCAGUUAAUCAGAUUUAAAAUAGAAUCAGGUGCAGGUGAUAUUACUUAAAAAAAUAAUAUUUCACUGUGCCACGGCAUAUAAGAUAAAAGUGUAAUCGGCAUAUAAGAAGGCACAAAAUCAAGAGAGUUGACAUGAAUGGACUGCUGUUGGGAGUGUGAGUUGGACGGAUUUGAAAUAAAGAUAAGAGGAAAGGCAUAGGUGGGACCUGUUUACUGUGCCACAGCAUGAACCGUGAUGUUUUUUGCCAGCUGGUGGACACGUGAUUCUUGAUUAGUUCAAUUACUGCAUUUGAUCAAACAUGGCCCCACUCUUUGAAUAUUUAAUUUAAGAAAAAAACCCAACCAGAACACCUCAUAUUUCCUGACUGAAAUGCUUGCUUGCUGCGGGCUACUACAAUAUAUAAGAUAUAUCUAUACUGAAACCCUUUAUCUUUAAUUGGCAUUAUUAAAAGAUUUUGUAACCUUACACCGUGGAAAUACUGGAAAUGACAAUUUUAACUCAUUUAAAUGUAAAAGUUAAUUAACAAAUUUAUUUUGGAUAAUUUAUACAAAAUAUGAAUAAAUAUUGUAUUUCUAAAAUAUAAGUCGUUUAAAGUAUUGCAUGCGAUUAAUGAAUCAAUUAAUUUCGCUAAAAAUUAUAUCACUCCGUCUCAAAAUUUAAGUUGUCUAAGGUGAUAAUUUUAUCACAAAAUAUAAGUCAUUUUGAAUAUUUUAAGAAAUUACAAAUGAUUUUUUUUCUUUCAACUGUAUCCUUAUUUAUAUUAGAUAUAAUACAACGAUGUGAGAUAAAAGUAACAAUGAGAGAUAAAUGAUAAUUUGUUCAAAUUACUCUUGAUUUUGUUAGAAAUUUAGAAAAAUUAAUUGCAUUUUUAAUUCUCGUAUAAAAAUCUUAAACGACUUAUAUUUUGGACAAAUAGAGUAAUAAACUCAACAAUAAUUUGAUUUAUGAGAAUUAAUUUAAACGAUCAAAUUAUCCUUAAUCUCAAAAUCAAGUUAUUGUAUUAUGAAUAAAGUUAAAAUUGGAAAAAAGAUUAUUUGUUAAAUAUGUUUUGAAAUCAAAUAGUUUUAUGAGUUAAAAAGAUUAGAAAUAAUCAUUUUUUAAAUUCAUUUGGUGUUAAAUUGGGAUGAUAAAUUAUCAAAAAAAAAAAAAAAAUAUAUAUAUAUAUAUAUAUUUGACAAACAGAUUGAAAGCUAGUUCUUUUGAAAGUUUACUGAGAACACAAAUUACAAGCUCAUAGUAGUUAGUAGCUUGAUUAAGGAAACCCAUGAAGGACAAAAUGACAGUGGCAAAUGCCUUUGAGACCAAAAGGCUUCAGCUUCAAUUUUUUAUAACGUAACAUUUAAUAUCUUUCUCUUUAUGAUUUUUAAAUUAUUGUAAUUGCUAUCAACAGUAUAAAGUAUAGAAAAUUCAUUAUAUAUAAUAUUGAAUAAAAAAAAAAAAAGGGUGAGAAAUGUCAUUAUUUAUAGAAUUAAUUCACACAAACAUAAAUGCGAAGCUUCAUUCUACCUUUUAGGUGCUACCAUUCACUGAAGGGGAACGCACGCAUCAUUGAAGCUCAACGCCUGUCUUUUGCACUUUUCAAACUGAAUCAUUUCAUUCGUGAAAUAAAUUGAUGGAUAAAGGGCAAUUGCCAAACAAUAUUAACGGCAAAAACAAACGAGUCUUUUUUUUUUUUCUUUUUCUUUUCUUUUCAUUAGAAUAUUUAAAGUAUUGGUUAGAGGUAUAAUUAUAAAAUAUAAUUGAUCUCAUAAUUAAUCUUUUCCUUUUCUUAAUAAUAAUCAUUAUAGUCUUGCUUUUGGUGUUAUAGUUGUUUUUUUUUUUUAAUAAUAAAAAAAUAAUGUAUUAUGUCAAUCGAAUGUGAUCUGAUUGGUAUUUCCAUUCACCUUGAGAAGUUUCAAAUUUUAGAUAGUUAACUAUCAGAGUUAUCGUCAAUUUUGCUUAUAAAACAACAAGAGAGCUACCUAUAUUAUGCAGCCCACAAAAAUUCUUUAUAAUAAAUUAAAAAAAUAUUAUUUUAUUAAAAUUGAUAUAUUAUAUUUGUUAUUUAAUAGUUUGAACUAGAAAAAUAAGCUACUAAAAUUCACACAGAUUUUCUUAAAUAUAAAUUUUUACUAUGAAAAAUAGAAAUCAAAGUCAGAAAACAGAAAUGAUACAAAAUAGACACGUAAUCAUAUUUGAUGAGCAUUUCUCAUAAUACACGUUAGCUUGUUUAGCUUGUUUCGUGUAAAUUGAUGAUCCCAUUCUGUUUCGACAUAAAUGGUAUCAUUGGUUAUUAUAAACAAUUUCAAAAAUUUUUGAGCUACCACCAUAAAUACAACUUGUAUGAUUUCAAUUUUCAAAUUUAAAAGUUAUCUAAUAUCUACUUUAUCAAUGGACCUACACCUUUCCAAAUUUCUUGUUAAUCUUAUGCAUUAGAAAAUUUAGCCAAAUAAAAUUGAUAUUAUAUAUCAAUUUUAUUUAUUUUUCAAUUUAAAAUCACAAGUUUAAUUAUCGGAAAAUGCAUAUACUAUGAAGAAAAAAUUUUUAUAAUCAACUAUCCAAAAGAGAUUAGUUUACACCAAUAUAGUAGAAGAAAAAUAGUGGAAGAACACGUGACGAUUCUAAUAUGAUAUACAUAAACUAAAAAUAUUUUAAAGGAGUCUUCACUUAUAAUUUUGUUUUCAAAAUUUAAUACUUGUAAUUUGUUUUAACCAACUAUUUACUAUUUUUAAUUGAUUUUGUAAACUCAAAACUCCAUUUAUUUUUCAAAAAAUAAUUUAUUUUUAAAAAAUAUUUUUAAAAGCAAAACAUACUUGAAAAUUUGAAAUAACACAUUUUCUAUUGUUUGGUUACAAUAUUGAAAAAUUGUUAAAAAAUAUUAAAGCUUUUAUAAGAUCGAAAAAAUUUAUAAUUAUAAAAAGUUUCACAUUUUAAAAUUUUAUUAUUUAAUACAACAUAAAUAUUUAUUACGUGCUUGAUUGUAAUUUGUAUCUAAGACUUAAUCAUAUUUUAUGGACCAAAGAUAUAUUUUGUAUAGAAUCCAGAUAGAAAUAAGAGAUUAUAUUCCUAAAUCCUUCGCUAACUCUCAAUGAACUAGCAAUCACUCCAAAAUACUUAUUGAAUUGGUAUUUCAAAUAUUUAUCUAAUAAAGAUUCCACCUACAACUCUAAUGAAAAUUCUUUACCUCUGUAUAAAAGAGGGAUCAAACUCCCUACUCACACUAUUUAGGCAAUGUAAUACCAAUAUAUUUCAUUCAAUUAUAAGUAUUUAUUAUUUAUUUACUGACUUAAACAUAAAAGUGAUUGCAGGCCUAGAUGAGACCUUUAUUAUUCGUUUAUGUCUUGCAGAUUUCUACGGACCUCUCUUUAUUUUUCCUUGUUCAUUUAUGUCUUACAGAUUUUUACAUAGGCGCUAUGGAUAGAUUUUUCUAAGUCUAUCAUUAUUAAAUAUGAGAAACAAUAUUAUAAAAAAAGAUAAAUUACGAUAUCUAUCGAUGACCGUGGUCGUGAAAAUAAUGAUUAAUUAAUAAUAAAUAUGUAUUUAUAAGUUUAUAAUAAAUUUAUCAGUAUCUGAAAAAUAUUUUUCUCUUUUAGAAAAAGAAAGUUAUAAAAAUGAUUUAGUUCUCUCUUUCUUAAGGAAAAUAUCAUCUGUUGCUAAUUUUCUUGAACACUUCAAACAUUAAAAAAAAAUCUAAAAAAUAUUAUUCAGACAAGUUAUUUCUCGAAAUUAAUGGAAUCUCAAUAUUAAUUUAUUAUUAUUUUUUCCAUUGAGAAAAAAAUAUAUUAGAUUUAUUCCACUAUUGAGAAUAAAGGAAAUCAUUUAAAAUAAGAAAGCUCAAAAAGUUAUAGCCGUAAUACUAAUAGCAUUAUUUCAAAUUUGUUUGACAUGAUGUAAUCAACCGAAAUGAUAAUUACAUUAUAUGAGUAAUUACAUUAUUUGAUUAGACUUUUUUUAAUAGCGUAGUAUAAUUGAGACUACGUGUAUAAUCUUCAUCACUUAAAUUGAUGUAAUACUCAUUACAUGAAAAAACACACAUAUUGUCUAUUACAUCAAGUAAAUGGAAUACCGAUUAUAUUAAGUCAUCCCAAUCAAAACUCUACCAUUCUAGAUUAUUUAGGCUGUGUUGGGUAAUAAAGUUUUGAGUGGCUUUUAAAGUUUUGACUGGUCAAAACGUUACUUAAAAAGUUGUUUGGUAACAUAGCGUUUGGACUAGCUUUUAGAGAUUAGAAUAACGUUUUGUGAAAAGUUAACUCACGUAACGUUUAGCUUUUAGCGUUUCAUGAAAAACUACUCAAACAGCUAACAACUAAACACUAUUAAAAUAGCAAAUAGCUACCAAAAUAGCUAAUUUUGCCGAACAUAUCCUUAAUACUACCACUUCACCACCACAACCACUAUCACCGCUUCACCACCACAGCACCACCUUAACACCCACCACAACCACUGCCACAAUUACUACUCCACCACCACCACCACCACUACUGUUCCAUCACUACUUCAACCACCAUUACCGCUCUGCAACGACAACCAUCACCAUUGUUCUACCAUCACCACUACUACCACCAUCACUGCUCCAUCACUAUCACCUCAACUACCACCACCGCUGCUGCUGCCUCAACUCCUACCAUCAUCGCUCCACCACCACUAUCACCACCAUCGCUUUACCACCACCACCAUGUGGUGGUGAUAUGAUUAGUGGUGAUGGUGUGCUAAUUAUAUUACAUAUUUACAAAAAAAAAAAAAAAGAACGAUGAUUAUAUUCCUAAAUUUUCUUGAUAAUAUUAUCAAACAUAGUAAUGAAAUCUUAAUUAAAUUACGUUUUUCAUCACAUUACUUCUUUAAUUACAUUAUAUUGCCUUACAUCAAACCAGACAUAGCGUUAGCAUGUAUAUCCUCAUACACAUCAAAACUUGACUCUAAUAUCUAUGAGAAAAAUGCACAGUUAAGCCCUUAAAUUUAAUCAGUUUUUCCAUUAAACUUUUAUUUAUGAAUAUUAAGUUUUUAAACUUUUAUUUUUUUUAAAAAAAUUAAACUCUAUUUAACCGAGAUUUAAACUUUUAUUUUUUUAAAUUAAACUCUUAUUUAAUUAUGAGUUAAACAAUUAUAAUCCCAUAUGUUAUACGCGGUUGAUGGGAAAACUUAAUCGAAUUGUUAAAUCUCUUAAACUUUUAUUUUUUGAAAAUUAAGUUUUUAAAUUUGUACUUUUGUUAAAGUGAGUAUUUAAAUUAUUUCCAUUAUCAGUGAUUUGAAUUUAUUAUUUACUCACUAUCGAUUUAGAACUUAAUUUUAACUUAAAUAAAAAUUGAAGGAUUCAAUAUUGAUAAAUGAAAUUGCAGGAGCUUAGUAGACAAAACUUGAAAAAUAAGAGGCUUAAGUACAUCUUUUACCAAAUAUAAUCAAGAGUUAAUUUACACUCACACAUAGGUGAGGAUAGGAUUAGGAUAGAAGUGUGGUAAGUGCCCGCGAACUUUGAGUUAUCCAUAUCUAUAUCUGUUUAGAGCUUUAAAAUCAAUUGUAUCUAUGUUAAAUCCGUUUAAAUACCUAUAUCAAAAUCUGUUUAAAAUUUUACUGUCCGAUCCAUUCAAAAUCUAUUUUAAAUACUUGUAUUUGAUGUUCAUAAAAUUUAAACCAUUUAAACACGAACUUAUUUAAAAAAGUAUCUUCCAUUGAUAAUGGAUAAAGUAUCAAGGAUACUCACAGUAAAACUCAUUUAAUAUAAUGGAUAACAAGUAACGAAUAUUCAAACUCAUUUAGUAAAACUCCUGAAUUCAAACGACAGGAUUUGCAAGUGAAGAGAGAUGGAACCUAAAACGGUUGGCUAUGUACUCAAUGUAGAUUCACUAACAAAGUACAACAAAUGCAAAUACCAAGUAAAAAGGAACAAAUGGUUAAGAAUUCAGACAAAGUCCUAACUUCAAAGUUCAAAGUUCAAACCAUAAAAUCAUUUCAGUAAGGAGAAAUCAAACUAAAACUUUUGAAUGUUAAAAUUUCAACUUUAACCACAGAACCAAAACCCUGUUAGCUAUGUACUAACACAAAGUGCAAGAAACACCGAGUACGAACUCAAGCACAGUAAGAUUGAGCUGGAUUGCCCAUAACCCAAAAACACUAGAAUGUGUCUGGUGUGGAGGGGUCCAGAAGCCAACUUAAAUAGAAGCAGAGGGACAACACUGGAAAUUAUGAUUUAAAAAAAAAAAAAAAAAAAAAACUAAAAAGCAAAGAGAGAAACAGACAAGAAAUAACCGUUGUAGGGGUGGCUUUUUGGGUUGGAUGCCAGGCUGACGCUUGAGCCCCCCUCAGAUGAUUCAGCUCACAUGGUCUAUCUGUACACUCUGGGUCCCACCCUCCACUUUCUCUCUCUACUACCCUCUUUGGAUUAGUUGUCAAAUGAUCCUUUUAUGUUAUCAUAUUACACACUUUCAUCCUAUCUAUUUCAAAGUUACUAACUUUAGUUAAUGAGAUUUAAUCUGCCAAAUGCAUAAAUUAAUAUCUAAAUUUUAUAAGAAGAGUCUAGUAGCACCUUUAAACGUUGAAAACUUCUUUUCGUAAAAUUAUAGCUAGUAAAUGCCUUAAUUUAAAAAACCGUAUUUAUUAAAUACUUAAACGUAUAUAAUUAUGUUUAUUAAAUAUUUAUCGGAUGAUUUAAAAUAUAAAAAUUUUAUUAUUUAAUAAAUUAUAUUAAAAGUUAUAUAAAAUGUUACACUUAUUGAAUAUAUUAUUUAGUAAUUGUUGUAAAAUUAAAAACCCUGUUUUUUUUUUUUUCAAAUUAAGUUGAUACUUAGUCUCAACUGUGCUUUUAUCCAUAAUUUUAAAUAAUUUAUUUGUAGAAACCCUAAAAACCAUAUAUUUUUCGUUGACAUAUCAUAAAAAUUAAAAUUAUUAAUUUCAAACUGUUUAAAUACUGGUAAAAUGUAAAAUAAUGCAAAUGGUGACAGUUUUUGCAACCAACUUUUUUUCUUGGAAAUUCUCUGUAUUACAAUCGUCUUUUAUAAUAUUUUUAUUAAUAUUAUUUUGUUCCAAACAUGCCCUUGUCUUAUCCAAAUAAUGCCCCGUACUCUCCUGCCCUUCUCUCUAUUCUUAUAAGGGCAGUGGCCUGUGGAUCAAAGACCACAGUCCCAAGAGAGAAGAGAAAGACAAAGCAAUUAAGCUCACAAGAGAGAAGCUCUUCUAUUUUCUAGAGUAAGAAAGAAGAAAGAAGACGAUGGCCAAGGAAGUAAGUGAAGAAACGCAAACUACCCAUGCAAAGGAUUAUGUUGAUCCACCACCUGCGCCACUGAUCGACAUGGCUGAAAUCAAGCUCUGGUCUUUCUACAGAGCUUUAAUAGCUGAGUUCAUAGCCACUCUCCUUUUCCUUUACAUAACUGUAGCCACUGUAAUUGGCUACAAGAAACAAACUGAUCCAUGUGGUGGAGUUGGUCUUUUGGGCAUUGCAUGGGCCUUUGGUGGCAUGAUCUUUAUCCUUGUUUACUGCACUGCCGGUAUAUCUGGUAAGUAAAAAAAAAAGGAACUAUUUCUCUAAGUUACUAGUACCCAAAUGGGUAUUUAUUAAGUUUUAGGUUUCUGUGAAGUUUCUUUGUGGAUUUGGUCAUUCAACUUGAAAAAUAACAAAACCCAUUUGUUUUCAAGACCUGUUUAAUAAUGGGUUUUCCUUAUUUUGGUUACAGGUGGUCAUAUUAACCCAGCAGUGACCUUUGGGCUGUUUUUAGCAAGAAAGGUGUCACUAAUUCGAGCCUUGGCUUACAUGGUGGCUCAGUGUUUAGGUGCCAUCUGUGGUGUAGGGUUGGUCAAAGCUUUUAUGAAGAAUCCAUAUAAUCAUCUUGGUGGUGGUGCUAACUCUGUAAAUACCGGCUAUAGCAAAGGAACUGCUUUGGGUGCUGAGAUCAUCGGCACUUUUGUUCUAGUCUACACUGUUUUCUCUGCAACUGACCCCAAGAGAAGUGCACGUGACUCACACGUUCCUGUAUGUUAUCAACCAUAGCCUAGUAUAGCUCUCCUCUUUCAUGUCAAAGAGUUCAAAUCUAAACUUUGUUUUGGUUAUGUUUGGUUGCAGAUUUUGGCUCCACUUCCAAUUGGGUUUGCAGUUUUUAUGGUUCACUUGGCUACCAUACCCAUUACUGGUACUGGUAUUAACCCAGCGAGGAGCUUCGGUGCUGCUGUUAUUUACAACAAUGAUAAAGUCUGGGAUGAUCAUGUAAGCCUCUUGAUAGUCAACCAGAAACUUAUUUUUCUUGAUUUUAUGGUUGUUUUGAAGUUGGUGCUUUUUAACAUAAAACAUCAGAAGUAGGUUAAUUUUCAAGAAUAUGUUUAUCUUCUUGAUAAAAUAAUUUAAUUUCCUUUUUAAUUAUUUUUUGGAUGGGCAGUGGAUUUUCUGGGUUGGACCGUUUGUUGGAGCAAUUGCAGCAGCUGCAUACCAUCAAUACAUACUGAGAGCAGCAGCUAUCAAAGCUUUGGGAUCUUUCCGCAGCAACCCCACCAACUAAAAUGAAAGAAAGAACGAAAGAAAGAAAAACAAGAAAAAAAAAAAAAACCAAAGGCUUUGUGUAGCUAUCUUUAGUCUCUAGUCUUUCUUUUUCUCUAUUUGUUUGUUUGUUGUGUGUAAUGAGAGGAUUAUGAUGAUGACCCUUCUUUCUUCUUUCUUUUUUUACUUCAUUUUUUCUUUUCUUAUUGUUCUUUUGUAUCAUUGUUAAUGAGUAGUGCUGUUCUUUUUUCUUUCUUUUGAUCAUAUUUAAUUGCUUUGUGCAGUGUAGAACGUUCUCUCUCAACACUCUUUUAAUAAUUAGCCACUAAAUAAACUACCAGCUAACUAAAUUUUUAUCCUCUCGACCUUCAUUACAGCGGUGCUAGUGAAUUUGUGAGUAGCGGUUAGGCCAUCUUCGGGAACAGUUUUUUCAUAUGGC
This 21728-nucleotide long non-coding RNA is filed under the name Jatropha curcas. RNAcentral describes it as "long non-coding RNA (JCUR_LNC002385)". The record is from RNAcentral. Lineage: Eukaryota; Viridiplantae; Streptophyta; Magnoliopsida; Malpighiales; Euphorbiaceae.